UACAGAGGGGGCAAGCGUUGUUCGGAAUUACUGGGCGUAAAGGGCGCGUAGGCGGCCUGUUAAGUCGAACGUGAAAUCCCCGGGCUCAACCCGGGAACUGCGUCCGAUACUGGCAGGCUUGAAUCCGGGAGAGGGAUGCGGAAUUCCAGGUGUAGCGGUGAAAUGCGUAGAUAUCUGGAGGAACACCGGUGGCGAAGGCGGCAUCCUGGACCGGCAUUGACGCUGAUGCGCGAAAGCUAGGGGAGCAAACGGG
This 253-nucleotide ribosomal RNA is filed under the name uncultured bacterium. Its description in RNAcentral is "partial 16S ribosomal RNA". It matches the Rfam family "Bacterial small subunit ribosomal RNA", at positions 524 to 776 of the family's 1533-position model. The record is from RNAcentral.